GGUAGUGGAGUCUGCCGAUCGAAGGGUUUCUGCCUGGUGGUGCUGAAUGGGUGGGUGCAUAUGCGUCUAGCAUUUCGCAUCCAUGGACGACAAUACGGGUAAGUAAAAUAUACAGCGUGGUCUGUUUUUAGGAUGGUUUGGUGUCAUUGCAUGCCUAGCAUCAUCUCCUUUCUCAACGCAGAGAUCCAGCUUAUUCCUGGCCUGUUACUUAAGAAUGGGGCAUCGCUUGGCUAUCUUCUGCAGCACCGCCGCUGGAGCGACUUCUGCCAGGCAGCCCUAUGAAUAGCUCAGUUUCGACAUCCAUGUUGUCGUUGGUGGUGUUGAUGUUACGGUCCGGGUUCUCAUCUUCGGCCCGGACAGUCAAAGGAGCAGACAAGGGAGGCUGAUUCUUACACUGCACAAAGUUCAUGAUCAAGGGAAGCAAAUCAGGUGAGUUGAUCUUUCAGUGUCGCAGAAAAUUCUCGGCAUUUAUAUUGGUGUGCACAUAAGAUAUCGCACGAAUUAGCUCAAAUAAUCAUAUGCUAGGCUGGGCGAUCGACUUAAGCUGGCUGCUGGUGUCUUCUCGGCAGUAAAAGUUUCACUCGUCUUACCUUUUCGCGUAACUCUUCAUUGUCCUUGCGCAGCUUCAUCUCCUGGUCGAUGUUAAUGCAAAAAAGAGACAAACACGACAUUAGGAACAGAUGAUUGGUCCUGCGUUUCAGGUUAUAUAUAUAUUUAUUUAUUUAUAGUAAGUACGAAGUUGGUGAGGUACCUUCUCUCUCAGUUUGGCAACCUGCUCCUCAAGCAGCUUUGUCUAGUAUGCAGAGAAUUGGUUGUAAGUUUGUGCACAUCAUAUAUAUAGAUAAAUUAAUUGCUGAUAACGUAGACUGAAAUGGAAAAUUUAUUAGCC
This 889-nucleotide long non-coding RNA is filed under the name Oryza sativa (Asian cultivated rice). Its description in RNAcentral is "long non-coding RNA (OSAT_LNC000491)". Lineage: Eukaryota; Viridiplantae; Streptophyta; Magnoliopsida; Poales; Poaceae. The record is from RNAcentral.